This 219-nucleotide ribosomal RNA is filed under the name uncultured marine eukaryote. Its description in RNAcentral is "partial 18S ribosomal RNA". The record is from RNAcentral.
UUAAAAAGCUCGUAGUUGGAUUUCUGCGGGGGCGGGGCGGCCGAACGCUUAUAGCGUUUCGAGCUAGCACUUCCCCUGCAUCCUGCCGCGAACCGUGCUACCAUUAGUUUGGUGGCGCCGGGGAUCGGCUCGUUUACUUUGAGAAAAUAAGUGUUCAAAGCAGCCACACGCCUUGCAUAAGUAGCAUGGAAUAAUAUAAAGGACUUCGGUUCUAUUUGU